CCUACGGGACGCAGCAGUGGGGAAUAUUGGACAAUGGGGGCAACCCUCAUCCAGCAAUGCCGCGUGUAUGAAGAAGGUCUUCGGAUUGUAAAGUACUUUCGACAGGGACGAUGAUGACGGUACCUGUAGAAGAAGCCCCGGCUAACUUCGUGCCAGCAGCCGCGGUAAUACGAAGGAGGCUAGCGUUACUCGGAAUGACUGGGCGUAAAGGGCGCGUAGGCGGCUUAUACAGUCAGAUGUGAAAUUCCUGGGCUUAACCUGGGACCUGCAUUUGAUACGUAUAGGCUAGAGUCUGAAAGAGGAUUGUGGAAUUCCAAGUGUAGAGGUGAAAUUCGUAGAUAUUUGGAGGAACACCGGUGGCGAAGGCGGCAAUCUGGUUCACAACUGACGCUGAGGCGCGAAAGCGUGGGGAGCAAACAGGAUUAGAUACCCUGGUAGUC
Molecule: ribosomal RNA, 440 nt
Filed under: uncultured bacterium
Lineage: Bacteria
Description: bacterial SSU rRNA
Rfam family: Bacterial small subunit ribosomal RNA
Source: RNAcentral